CAGAAAGUAAUGAUCUAUUACCAAAAUGCUGUAGAAACAAUACCUACAGCUCCCCAGUGGAAUGAAUAGCAGCUAGGUAACUCAACCCCUCUCUGAUGUCACCACGGGUAACUGAGACCUGGAGACCGACUGGAGCUGCAUCCGUGGAGCUCGAGCCUACCGAGACACGCCUCCACCGGCCACAAAUUCCGUUACUCGGGGAAAAACGGAUUUGACAACAUGGCGCACUUUCUGGGAAAUAACUUUAGUCAGUUCGCGGCCGGUAGAGUGGGAAUAUCGCAUGAUUGUUCACUUUUGGUUGGAGAAUAGUUGGAGUUCCAUCCUACUACAUUGUUGUGUGAGAUCGCACUGUUUCUCUGUCCUGUUUGGGAAGCGGACUGCAUGGGAUGAAAGUUUUAAGUUGCUGCCGCUGGGUAUAAAACUAGGACAGGAUGGAGAAACAUCGACCGAAGAAAGAAAGGUUCUCUCUCUUCGGCCCUCGCUCUUCUACCCGAGCCACCAACCCUCCCUCUUCCUCCUCUUCGUCCUCUACCUCUGCUCGCCCCAUCCCUCCCCCUCUCUGCCAGACAGACCCUCAUCCUUGCAUCCCUCCCGGGCCUCCUAUCCUUUCUAAGGCAGAGUUUCUGGAGGCAGUACGUCGCAGUAACCAGGCAUGCCAACGGGGGCAGUACAGCCUGGCAGUGCAGCUCUACGGCGAGGCCCUGUCUGCUGACCCUCAGAACUGCAUCCUGUACAGUAACCGCUCUGCGGCCCUUCUCCACCUGGGACAGUACCAGACCGCCCUGGACGACGCCCUCAAAGCCCGUCUGCUUAACCCCAAAUGGCCCAAGGCAUACUUCCGUCAGGGUGUGGCCCUGCAGUACCUUGGUCGCCAUGCCGACGCCCUGGCAGCGUUUGCCUCUGGUCUGGCGCAGGACCCCAAGAGUCUCCAACUUCUGGUGGGCAUGGUCGAGGCUGCCAUGAAGUCCCCACUACGAGACUCUCUGGAACCCACCUACCAGCAGCUGCAGAGGAUGAAGCUGGACAAGAGUCCAUUCGUGGUGGUGUGUGUGAUUGGUCAGGAGCUGCUGACCGCUGGUUACCACGGCGCCUCAGUGGUGGUCCUGGAGGCAGGGCUAAAGAUCGGCACAUGCUCUCUGAAGCUCCGAGGUUCAGUGUUCUCUGCUCUUAGCUCAGCCUACUGGUCGCUAGGCAACGCAGAGAAGAGCACAGGAUACAUGCAGCAAGACCUGGAGGUGGCCAAGACGCUAGGUGACCAAUCAGGCGAGUGCCGAGCUCACGGGAACCUAGGCUCUGCCUACUUCUCCAAGGUCAACUACAGGGAGGCUUUGACCAAUCACAGGCAUCAGCUGGUCCUCGCCAUGAAACUCAAGGACAGAGAGGCUGCGUCCGCUGCGCUGAGCAGCCUUGGCCAUGUGUACACAGCGAUAGCGGACUAUCCUAAUGCCCUGGCCAGCCAUAAGCAGUGUGUGCUGUUGGCACGGCAGACCCAGUGCCUGCUAUCAGAGGCUCGCCAGCUGGGCAACAUGGGCGCUGUCUACACCGCACUGGGAGACUUCACCAACGCUAUGCAGUGUCACCAGCAACACCUGGAUAUAGCUAAGACCCUGGGUAAUGGUCCUGAGGAGGCGCGGGCGUACAGUAACCUGGGCAGUGCCCACCACAGCCAGAGAGACUUUGACAAGGCUGUGUCCUACCACACCCUGGUGCUGCAGCUGGCUCAGGAGCUGGAGGACAGGACUAUACAGAUGAGGGCUUACGCCGGCCUGGGACAUGCUGCUCGCUGCAUGCAGGACUUGGAGAGGGCAGGCCAGUACCACCAGCAGCAGCUGGACAUAGCGGAGGAGCUGCAGGACAGAGCUGCACAGGGACGAGCUUCAUCCAACCUGGGUAUAAUCCACCAGAUGAAGGGGGAGUACGAUGCAGCGUUGAAGCUCCACAAGGCCCACCUGUGUUUGGUCCAGGAGCUGGGGGACUAUGCUGCUCAGGGCAGGGCCUAUGGGAACAUGGGAAAUGCCUACAACGCUCUGAGGAUGUACGACCAAGCUGUACGCUACCACCGGCAGGAACUGCACAUAUCACUCGAGAGCGCUUUGGGGACGUACGACCAGGCUGUACGGUAUCAUAGAAAUGCCAUGACUAGAGCUGACGUGAUUCCUUAUUUUAUAUACCAAAGAGGUAUGUUUGUUCUGCAUCAUACAUUUGUAUCUGAACGUUGGCCAACGUUGUGUCCUGUGAAUGACCGUCCCUCCCAGGCCUCUACUCAUGGUAACCUGGCUGUAGCCUAUCAGGCGCUGGGUGCUCACGACCAGGCUCUCCAGUAUUAUGAGCAGGAUCUGGCCCUGGCUAAAGACCUGGGUGAUAAAUUGUCCCAGGCUAAAGCCUACUGUAACCUGGGUCUGGCCUACAAAGCCCUGGGGGAAUAUAGCAAGGCUGAGGACUGUCAGAGAUACCUGCUGUCCCUGGCUCAGGCUCUGAACAACACUCAGGCAGUGUUCCGUGCCCUGGGAAACCUGGGGGAUGUGUGUGUGUGUCGGGGUGACGUGGCCGGGGCGGUGAGGUUCUACCAGCAGCAGCUCACCCUUGCUCAGGAGGUCAAAGGACACAAGAUGGAGGCUGACGCCUACUCAGCGCUAGGCUCUGCCCACAGACUCCUCCGUCAGUACGACCUGGCCCUGUCCUUCCACCAGCAGGAGCUGUCUGCCCGCACCGCUCUAGACGACCAGCGGGGGCAGUGUGGUGCUCUGGGCCGCCUGGCAGCCGUCCACAUGGCCCUGACAGACUACCCCACAGCCUUCCAGUGUUACCAGGCCCAGCUGACCCUGGCACAGGGCCUCAGAGAUGCCUGCGUGGAGGCACAGGUCCAGGGCAACAUGGGCAUCGCCAAGAUGAACAUGGGUGUCCUGGAGGAGGCCAUUGGAUAUUUUGAGCAGCAGUUGGCCAUGCUGGAGCAGCUGAGUGGGGCUGAGUGUGUGCUGGACAGAGGCAGGGCCUACGGGAACCUAGCAGACUGUUAUGACUCUCUGGGAGACUUUGAGGAAGCUAUAAAGUACUGUGAGAUGUUUCUGACUGUGGCUCAGAGUCUCAACCAUGUUCAGGACCAGGAAAGAGCCUACAGGGGACUGGGCAACGCACACAGAUCUCUAGGUAGUCUCCAGCAGGCGUUGGUGUGUUUUGAGAAGCGUCUGGUGGUGGCCCAUGAGCUGGGUGGAUCGGGAGGUGGAGAGGGAGAAAGUGGAGGAAGGAAAGCCCAGGCCCAGGCAUAUGGGGAGCUGGGAGACCUACACAGCCAGCUGGGGAAUUAUGAACAAGCCCUAUCCUGCCUGGAGCAUCAACUUAACAUCGCCUCCACCGCAGGGGACCGAGCACUAGAGGGCGAAGCGAGCGGGGCGUUGGGUGGAGUGUACCAGCUGAUGGGAGAGAACGAGACAGCUCUACAGUGGCACCAGAGGGCAUUAGAGAUUGCGGAGGAAACAGGAAGUGUGAGGAGUCAGGGGAGGGCCUACGGGAACCUGGGGUUGACCUAUGAGGCGCUGGGAAACUACGAAAGGGCCGUGGCCUGUCAGGAGCAGCACCUGAGUGUGGCAGCGCAGAAUAAUGACCUCACAGCCAAGACACUGGCGUACGGCAGCCUGGGGAGGACACACCAUGAGCUACAGAACUACACACAGGCUGUCAUGUACCUGCAGGAAGGUCUGCGUUUAGCAGAGCAGUGUGGGAGGAGAGAGGAGGAGGCUAGGAUCCGUCAUCGUCUGGGCCUGUCACUGUGGGCCAGCAGCAACCUGGAGGAGGCCCAGAACCAGCUGUACCGAGCGUCUGCCUUGUUUGAGUCGAUUCGUCAUGAAGCCCAACUCAAUUCAGACUACAGGCUGACUCUGUUUGACCUGCAGACAUCAUCAUACCAGGCUCUCCAGAGGAUCCUCGUCAGCCUGGGUCAUUAUGACGAGGCCCUAGCAGUGGCAGAGCGGGGUCGGACCCGGGCGUUCGCCGACCUCCUGGUGGAGCGACAGCAGGGUCACCAACCCCUGACCUCUGACCCUUAUACCCCGACCCCUGACCCUUACUCCCCGGUAACCGUAGAACACAUCCUGGAUACGGUCAACAGUCAAAAGUCACUGGUGCUGUACUUCUCUCUGGCCGCAGGGUACCUCUACAGCUGGCUACUGGCACCAGGCACAGGUAUAGUGAAGUUCCACGAGGUGUACCUGGGUGAGGGAGGAUCCGAGCUGCAGGCCUCAGAGAUCCAGGGGGGAGGAGUUAGUGGCUGCCAGUCUCUGGAGCAGCACAUCACUGCAGCUAGAGAGGCUCUGGGAGUAGACAACUACUACAGCAGGUAUGUGUGUGUCUUAGGUGAGACAGAGAGCGAAGCGGGGGAUCUGUUGGAACAGCAGUUUGAGGAACGGCUGAGCUCAGCUAGCGACCCUACAGGCUACCUACGUAUGGUUUCCAGAAACAACCUCUUCAACAGGAGUUCUGGUCUGGUCAGUUCUACAGUGUCUCCAGUGAGCGAGACCUCCUCCCCCUCUCUACCCUGUAGACCCCCACCCACCCCCCUCGUCAAACCCCCCCUCCGAGCACUUCACCACCUGCUCAUUGCACCUAUGGAGGGGGUGCUGAUGCCCGGCAGUGGUGCAGUGGGCAGACACAGACAGUUGGUGUUGGUGUUAGAGGGAGAGCUGUACCUGGUUCCCUUCGCUCUGCUCAAAGGUAGCUCGUCUAAUGAGUACCUGUAUGAGAGGUUCAACCUUCUGGCUGUCCCAUCUAUAGGGAGCCUGGGGCCUGUAGCCAAGUCCUACCCUCGUCGCGGGGCCCCCUUCCUCUACAGCGGUGGGGGUUCCAUGACUGCAGUGGUAGGGGCUCCACGCCUGCCCUCCAGGGUGAUGGAGCGUUGGCUGUGGGGUCCGCUGCCCUCUGCCCACGACGAGGCCCUCCGCCUGGGGGAACUGCUGGGCUGCCAGCCCCUCACUGGAACACAGGCCACCAAGGACCGUGUGAUAGCAGCCAUGGGCCAGGCAGAGUGUGUUCACGUUGCUACUCAUGUCUCCUGGAAGCUGGCGGCCCUGGUUCUCUCCCCCAGCCAGGAUCCAGGGAUGGACUCGGGAACACGGCCCAAGGAGAGUGCACCUGUGUGUGACGCAGAGAGUGUUUGUGACAGUCCACCACUUCAGGAGUUUCUGCUCACUGCGGCAGACAUACUGGACCUGAGACUGCCUGUCAAACUGGUGGUGCUGGGGUCGUACCAGGAGUGUGUUAGCAGGGUGACAGCUGACGGGGUUGUGGGUCUGACCCGUGCCUUCCUUGCGGCGGGGGUGCAGUGUGUGUGUGUGUCACUGUGGCCCGUUCCCAUGGCAGCCUCCAAGGUGUUCACACACACCUUCUACACGGCGCUGCUGAAUGGGACCAAGGCCAGUGCAGCUCUCACUGAGGCCAUGAAGACUCUACAGAGCAGCACACACUUCUCACACCCUUCUAACUGGGCGGGCUUCAUGCUGAUUGGCUGUGAUGUGAAGCUGAACAGCCCCUCGUCUCUGAUUGGCCAGGCUCUGGCAGAGAUCCUCCAAUACCCUGAGAGGGCUAGAGACUCCCUGAGAGUACUUUUGCACCUGGUUGAGAAGUCUCUCCAGCGUAUACAGAGUGGUCAGAGUAAUGCUAUGUACACCUUGCAGCAGAGUGUGGAGAACAAGGUUGGUGGUGUACCGGGAUGGCAGGCCCUGCUGUCAGCCGUGGGGUUCCGGUUAGACUGUCCCGGUACCGGCAGUGGUCUCCCCGCUGCUGUCUUCUUCCCUAUGGCCGACCCUGGAGACCGGCUGCAGCUCUGCAGCACCACUCUGCAGUCAUUACUAGGUCUGCCUCAUUCAGCAUUCCAGGCCCUUUGUAAACUGGUCAUUGCUGCUGAGACUGGAGAACAGCUAAUCAACAAGGUAGGCCUCAAUCUUCACCAGGUAUUGGUUCAGCAACAGACAUGUGACAAGGAGCAGGAGUUCUCAUUGGCUCCCAUCCAGGUGUCCAUUAGUGUCCAGCUGUGGAGACUUCCUGGUUGUCAUGAGUUCCUGGCUGCGCUGGGUUUUGACCUAUGUGAGGCAGGACAGGAGGAGGUGCUAUUGAAGACGGGUAAACAGGCUUGCAGACGGACAAUGCACUUUGCUCUGCAAUCUCUACUGGCACUGUUUGACUCCACAGAGCUCCCCAGACGCCUCAGCCUGGACAGCUCUUCAUCUCUAGAGUCUCUCUCCUCCUCCCAGUGUGCCUCCCUCCCCCUUAACCUCCCCCAGCCUCCCUUCUCGCCAACGCUUGGCGGCCCAGACAGUCUCUCAUGCGACGCCAUCUCCCUCUACAGCCUCAGCUCCCUCGCCUCCUCUCUCAGCUUCCUGUCCCGCCCCGAACCCGCAGGAAGUGAUGGCAUCAGCCAGCGUUCACGGCAGCAGGAACUGGAGCGGCACCGCGGAGGAGUCUCUCACCGACACACAGGAGGUGUGUCGAGAAACAGAUUAACGAAUCACAGAGGAGUAGGCGGAGGGACAGAGGGGGAGGAUAAGUAUGAAGGAUUCUCUAUCAUCAGCAGUGAGCCUCUGGGAGGAGGGGGAGGAGGGGGGAGGGAGUGCGCGGCAGGGAGGGGGUACCCCGUCUCGAUCUCCUCCAAGGGGAGUGUCAGCACUCCCACCUCACCGCUCAAAGUCCCCCCCUUGUCUGAAGGUCAGGUGGUCAGUACAGAGGCGGUCCUCUCUGAGUCUGACCAGUCCAGUACAGAGACAGACAGCACCGUCAAGUCCCAGGAAGACAAGCCACCCCUCACCCCUCUGGACCCCCAGGAGCUGGCCACCAGGAUCCUGGAAGAGACCCAGAGCCACAUGCAGGCUUUGGAGAGCCUCCAGAGGGGGAGGACAGGAAGGGUAGCCCCCCUGACCCCCACUGGAGGUGGUUUGGGCUUCCGUUCGUCUGAGACCAGCGCCCGGGCUUCACCUCUCUCCCUCUCCAGCCCUCUCUCACCCCUCCCUGCCACUCUCUCACCCAUCUCCACCCCUCUCUCACCCCUCCCUGCCACUCUCUCACCCAUCUCCACCCCUCUCCUCUCCACCAGGCCCAAACCCCCCUCUCGUUGCUCGUCCUUACAGAAGAUCAGCUCCGGCUACAACAGCCCGGCCCUAUCCUCCGUCUCUUCCUCCCUCUCUUUCUCUCACCCCUCACCCUCCAGAACCCCAGACCCCCACAUCCAUGCGCAGCUCAGACUUAAAUACCCCAGCUCCCCUUACACCCCCCACAUCUCACACUCCCCCAAUACCCUCUCCCUGGCCCCCUCCCCUGCCCUCUCCUACUCCUCUACAGGCUCUACCGCAUCCCGCUCCAGCCCGGCAGGCCUGGUCGACGAGAGGGUCCAGGCCAUCCACAACCUGAAAACCUUCUGGUCCAAUGCCACCCAGAGGCAGGAGGUUCCCGGCCCAGGCAGAGUGCUCCGAGAUGGGGGGAAGAAGAUGAGCACGGUCCAAAAAGAUGUCCUGGGGCUUCUCCACCUCUCUCCAAGACAUGGGUCCACCAACAAGAACCAGGACGCUGAAGGGCCCCAGAGCCCCACCAACCCGCUUAACGGACAUCGAAUGCUGGGUUCAAAACCACCAGUGGCGCCUCCUCCUCAGACUGCUACUGACUCCUCCAGGAGAGGUUGUCCUGGAGCACCCCCACACCCUGUCAAACUGCCCUCUGGGAAUGGCUUCAAGUUCCCCUCGCCUGGGAAGUUCUUCCCCUCCUCUAAAUGCUGA
RNAcentral lists this long non-coding RNA (7754 nucleotides) under Salmo salar (Atlantic salmon). RNAcentral's name for it is "lncRNA (ENSSSAG00000080651.2)". The record is from RNAcentral. Lineage: Eukaryota; Metazoa; Chordata; Actinopteri; Salmoniformes; Salmonidae.